RNAcentral lists this ribosomal RNA (490 nucleotides) under uncultured bacterium. RNAcentral's name for it is "partial 16S ribosomal RNA". It matches the Rfam family "Bacterial small subunit ribosomal RNA", at positions 36 to 507 of the family's 1533-position model. The record is from RNAcentral.
CUUUCCCUCUUUCUUCAGGCCUAACACAUGCAAGUCGAACGGUAACAGGAAGACGCUUGCUUCUUUGCUGACGAGAGGCGGACGGGUGAGUAAUGUCUGGGAAACUGCCUGAUGGAGGGGGAUAACUACUGGAAACGGUAGCUAAUACCGCAUAACGUCGCUAGACCAAAGAGGGGGACCUUCGGGCCUCUUGCCAUCGGAUGUGCCCAGAUGGGAUUAGCUAGUAGGUGGGGUAACGGCUCACCUAGGCGACGAUCCCUAGCUGGUCUGAGAGGAUGACCAGCCACACUGGAACUGAGACACGGUCCAGACUCCUACGGGAGGCAGCAGUGGGGAAUAUUGCACAAUGGGCGCAAGCCUGAUGCAGCCAUGCCGCGUGUAUGAAGAAGGCCUUCGGGUUGUAAAGUACUUUCAGCGGGGAGGAAGGGAGUAAAGUUAAUACCUUGGCUCAUUGACGUUACCCGCAGAAGAAGCACCGGCUAACUCCGUG